CCCCUUGGAUCCACCUAUAUGCUUUUAUGUCACUCCAAAGUCUUGAUCAAGUCAUUGAAUGGGAAUCCUCAAUUUUCAGGGCCCUGGUUGAAAAAGCUGACACCAACUCAACCAACUCCAUCGACGCAGCUGCCAUCGAGGACAAACUCGAACCGAUAAAACACCUCUCGGACGAGGACCUAAUCCACAUCCCAAAAUCCCCGCUUCUGAUCUCGGCCAUCGACUCCCUGAACCAGGCCGCCUCCUCCCUCCAUGAAAUCCACGCCCGACCCUCCUCCCACCCCUACCAUGGCCGCAACGCCUCCGACUUCUACAUCUUCAUCCCCGACAAGAUCCUCGUCCGCCGCGAGGUCGAUGGCAAAACCGUCACCGAGGAGAUCCAUACCGGGAUGGAUACCACCCGAUCGAUCGCCAAAAGAAGUGUUGAAUCAUCAGCGUCGACAUCGUCUUAUGCUCGGGGGAAGAUCGACCUGCCGCCCGACUCGCCGCUCCACAAGACGGACUUGGAGUUCCUCCUCGACCAGGACGAUCCCCAUUUCCGGCGGAAACGGCAGCUGACCGGGACCAACGGGCAGUACGUCACCGUUCAGCAAGAGGGAAACGGAGGGCCGCCGCAGACCCUGACCUAUAACAAUCAGCAGAACGCACCCCCGCCGCCGCAACAGGAGGGAUUCUACGAGAAGAUUGCGCCGAAGAUUCAGGACUUUACGCAAAAUCUUGCGUCGCAGUGGGCCAACUAUGCGAGUAAUCAACAACCCUUACAGCCGGUUCUCAACUCCCUCCCGCAGCCCAGCGGACAGCCCUACGUGCUGAACGUCCCCGCCGACUACACCAAGCAGACCUACCGCUACCCCCUCAACGAUCCCCCACCCCAAGGUGGUCCACAAGGGGUCCCUCAAGGGUUCCUCAAGUGGUCCCCCAAGGCGAGUACGCAGCCCCGCAGAAUCAACAGUUCCAAGCCGCGCCCCCCGUCAACGGCCAAUACAACCAAGCAUACGUCCCACCGCAAGUCAACUACCAACUAAACAACCAACCCUACAACCUCGUCCCGAACCAGCAAUACCCAACCCAGUAUCCCGCCGCCCCGAUGAACAUCGAAAUCAACGGCGCCCCCGCGGGACCGGACCCCCAAUACAACCAAUACCCCCUCCCGAAGAGGAACAAUACCAGAACAACAACCAACAGGUGGUUCUUCCCCAGGGCUACGGCCAGUACAACGGACCCCCGAUCCAAACAAACCAAGCCGUGACCGAACCAACAUUCAACAUCCCCCCGUCGAUCCCCACCUCGUACACCGGCCCCGUCAACAUCCCCGACAUGCCCCUACCGGCAACCCUAUCAUCCCUCCGGCGGCCUACCCCACCGCUACCCCUAACACCCCACCCAUGAACUAUAACAACCUCAACGGGCCCAUCAACGAGCACCUCAACAGCAUCGAUUCCCCGGGGGUGAACCAGCUCAGCGUGCAGCACUUUAACCACCCGUACGGCGUGAACAUCGCACCCUAUGUCAAGGUCGUCCCGCAGGAAGUCGACCCGAACCAGUAUAACCUCUUCAACAGACCUACCGGGAAACAGACCGGCCCCAGUAGUCCUAAACCACUACCCACCGAUUCCGAGUAUUACACCAACUACUACGGCGAUCCCUACGAUCCGUUGGAUACGAACGCGUUGAAGAAGCAGAGGAUGUACCAAGAGCCGGAUGUCAACAGGCAUACUCCGGGAUAUCAGGGUGGGCGUCGGCCGUAUGAUAUCGUCCAGACGGGUCAAAGUAGAUACCUACCCCCUGGGAAUUUGCCACCUGGGCCGAUACCGUAUGCCUCGGCGCCGGUCCCUGCGGACAGCGGUCAGCAACCCUCUUCUCCAGCUCCCACUGUAGUUUCGUCUCCGUCCCCGCCACCACCUUCGCCAUCUUUGCCCCCUCCAUCUCCGUCUAGCGAACCAAGAACUAGAAUAAUUUACUACGAUGACAAAAUAACGGCGUGAUAAUGUUUUGACGCAGGCAGUGGCGGUUCCCCAGAGUUGACAAUACUGUUUUUUCUCAAUUUAAAUGUAUGUAAAACAAUCUAUUCAUGAUGAGAGAGCUCGUUUACCCUAAAAGCGAUAUUUUUAAUGGAUUUAAAUGGAGGAGAAACAGUGUUGCCAACUUGUGAAAUCGCCGCUGGGGGUAGGGUUUAAUUUUGUCGUUCGGCUGAUAAAGGGACCAAACUCCUCUUUGAGACGAACUCGGGGGAGCGUUGAGUUAAAUGAAGAACAGGGGUUAUUACAAAGUACAGUUACGUCCUUUUGUCAGGAGGGCAAUGAUUUGUCUUCAUUCAGGUCAGCAAUGUCUUGAUAAAGAAAAACGCUGAAGGGCAUUCUAAUAUGGCCAAAUAUUUUCUCUCCUUGAAAUUUGUUUUAAAGUAAAGUUGUGAAUAAUAUUCCUGGAAAUUUUCAGAAACACUGAAGUUCAAAUUGUGAAUAGAAUUCACUAGAAAACUUAAAUAGGAAGAUUCACACGUAUUCCGAAAAAUUCAAUUUUUAUCGGAAGAUUAUUGGCAACGUUAAACUGCUCGCAUGGUGUCACGCAGAUUUGUAUUUACACGACUUCAUUGAACAUUUUCCUCUCGAUUGAAAAUUGUCGUUUGUAUCUUUUUAUAAAUGUAAAAAAUACAUUUUAUUUCAACUGCCAAGUAUAAUUUAAAAAUUAAAUCCACAGUUCUCAAAAUAGAGUAAUUUAUUCAAUGAUUGAGCUAACUACUGCCCCAUUUAACAGCCAAUAACCGGUCACAACAUAGUCAAUGCUGCUUUUCAUAUUUUGCAAGUAAAUAUAGUGAAAUUAGUUGUAUUAUGUUAAAUUUUAUGUAAAGUUGUAAAUAAAUAGAAAAAUGUUCCGCCUUUAUUUAUUUUCGAGAGUCGACCUCCAUUAGACGGCAUGCAGGCAAUCUACACACAGCUGUUUUUCAGACGAUAUUUUUGAUUAUUCUGGAA
RNAcentral lists this long non-coding RNA (2969 nucleotides) under Bemisia tabaci. RNAcentral describes it as "lncRNA ENSSWEETPG007322". Lineage: Eukaryota; Metazoa; Arthropoda; Insecta; Hemiptera; Aleyrodidae. The record is from RNAcentral.